RNAcentral lists this ribosomal RNA (250 nucleotides) under uncultured bacterium. Its description in RNAcentral is "partial 16S ribosomal RNA". It matches the Rfam family "Bacterial small subunit ribosomal RNA", at positions 525 to 775 of the family's 1533-position model. The record is from RNAcentral.
ACGGAGGAUGCGAGCGUUAUCCGGAUUUAUUGGGUUUAAAGGGAGCGCAGGCUGCGAGGCAAGUCAGUGGUCAAAUGUCGGGGCUCAACCCCGGCCUGCCGUUGAAACUGUCUUGCUAGAGUUCGAGUGAGGUAUGCGGAAUGCGUUGUGUAGCGGUGAAAUGCAUAGAUAUGACGCAGAACUCCGAUUGCGAAGGCAGCAUACCAACUCGCGACUGACGCUGAGGCUCGAAAGCGUGGGUAUCGAACAG